GACGAACGCUGGCGGCGUGCUUAACACAUGCAAGUCGAACGGAAAGGCCCUGCUUUUGUGGGGUGCUCGAGUGGCGAACGGGUGAGUAACACGUGAGUAACCUGCCCUUGACUUUGGGAUAACUUCAGGAAACUGGGGCUAAUACCGGAUAGGAGCUCCUGCUGCAUGGUGGGGGUUGGAAAGUUUCGGCGGUUGGGGAUGGACUCGCGGCUUAUCAGCUUGUUGGUGGGGUAGUGGCUUACCAAGGCUUUGACGGGUAGCCGGCCUGAGAGGGUGACCGGCCACAUUGGGACUGAGAUACGGACCAGACUCCUACGGGAGGCAGCAGUGGGGAAUAUUGCACAAUGGGAGGAAGCCUGAUGCAGCAACGCCGCGUGCGGGAUGACGGCCUUCGGGUUGUAAACCGCUUUCGCCUGUGACGAAGCGUGAGUGACGGUAAUGGGUAAAGAAGCACCGGCUAACUACGUGC
RNAcentral lists this ribosomal RNA (469 nucleotides) under uncultured bacterium. Its description in RNAcentral is "partial 16S ribosomal RNA". It matches the Rfam family "Bacterial small subunit ribosomal RNA", at positions 28 to 508 of the family's 1533-position model. The record is from RNAcentral.